RNAcentral lists this ribosomal RNA (460 nucleotides) under uncultured bacterium. RNAcentral describes it as "partial 16S ribosomal RNA". It matches the Rfam family "Bacterial small subunit ribosomal RNA", at positions 338 to 795 of the family's 1533-position model. The record is from RNAcentral.
ACUACGGGAUGCAGCAGUGAGGAAUAUUGGUCAAUGGCCGGAAGUCUGAACCAGCCAUGCCGCGUGAAGGUCAGUGCCCUAUGGGCGUUAAACUUCUUUUGUGCGGGAGCAAUAAUGGUCACGUGUGGCCAGACGAGAGUACCGUACGAAUAAGCAUCGGCUAACUCCGUGCCAGCAGCAGCGGUAAUACGGGGGUUGCAAGCGUUAUCCGGAUUUAUUGGGUUGAAAGGAUGCGUAGGCUGUGAGGUAAGUCAUCGUUGAAAUGCCCCCGCUCAACGGGGUGAAGUGCCAUUGAUCCCGCCUUGCGGGAAUGCGGAUGCAGUGGGAGGCAUGUGUGGUGUAGCCGUGAAAUGCAUAGAUAUCACACAGAACACCGAUUGAGAAGGCAUCUCACGAAGCCGCGAUUGACGCUGAUGCACGAAAGCGUGGGUAUCAAACAGGAUUAGAGACCCCGGUAGUC